UUGGGAGCCCUGAAGCCCUGGCACUCAGCACGGCAGCCGGACUCAGCACGUGGAAAGCCACGCCGCGGUAGUAGCUCCGGGGAGAGCAGAGAAGAUCUGGGUGUGGACGUCCGUAUUGCCAGGAGGGCUGCCGCGGACACCGAUGCAGGGCUCUCAGCCGGGGGGCCCCGCUUCCCGGGCUGGCGUAGCGAGAUCUGGUGUGUGGGUGAGCGCAGCGUGGACUGGCCUCCGUGUUCCCUGCUGUGGGUCACGCCUCCCUUCCCCCAUCCCCCCACCCGGACCCUGCCUGGCUCAGAAGUCACCACUUGGACUCUCGUUCCAAAACGGUGAUUUCCCAUGUCCUCUGUUACCUUUACUUGGUCAACACAGUACGCGUGUUAUUUCCGUCAUUUCUUGACAAAAUGCAGCGUGUGGGUCACCGUCUGGGUCGCGCUCACGGCCGGCCACGUUUCCCGUGGGAGCUCGCGGGGCUGCGUGGGCCAGUGUGAGUGCGAUGCGCGUGUGGGGCGGGCGGAGUUCUGAGCUUUUACAGACGAAGGCAGACAGCGAGAGGGGCUGGUAUUUAUUCAAACUCCAUACAGUAAAGAACUCUGAGUUUUAAAUUUCACUUACAUCAGCAGAAAAA
This is a long non-coding RNA of Mustela erminea (ermine), 625 nucleotides long. RefSeq lists it as uncharacterized. The record is from RefSeq and is a predicted model, not a curated record. The transcript is spliced from 2 exons. NCBI's taxonomy places the organism in Eukaryota, Metazoa, Chordata, Mammalia, Carnivora, Mustelidae.